AGAUUCCUAUAGCACUGGACAUGGCAGCUCAAUUUCGAGGAAAGGACUUCGAUCUUUGGAAGCGCAUAUGUGCAGAUGAAUAUAUGAAGUGUGCUGUAAUUGAAUGCUAUGAAUCAUUUAAAAACAUCCUGCAUGCUUUGAUAGUAGGAGAAGCUGAAACGAGGACAAUCUCUGUCAUCAUUAAGGAAGUUGAAAACAGCAUCUAUAAGAAUACACUUCUCACAAAUUUCCGAAUGGGGUUUUUGCCUUCCCUUUGUAAGAAGUUUGUGGAGCUUGUGGAAAUCUUGAAAGAUGCAGAUGCAUCUAAACAAGGUACAGUGGUGGUCUUAUUGCAAG
This 336-nucleotide small RNA is filed under the name Vigna angularis var. angularis. Its description in RNAcentral is "Non-protein coding transcript". The record is from RNAcentral. Lineage: Eukaryota; Viridiplantae; Streptophyta; Magnoliopsida; Fabales; Fabaceae.